GCUGGUAGCCUAGUGGUUAAGGCGUCCGCCUCUGAUGCUGAAGGUCGUGGGUUCUAUCCCCGGCGAGACAUACCA
Molecule: non-coding RNA, 75 nt
Organism: Potamilus streckersoni
Lineage: Eukaryota; Metazoa; Mollusca; Bivalvia; Unionida; Unionidae
Source: the annotation of a GenBank genome assembly